RNAcentral lists this ribosomal RNA (253 nucleotides) under uncultured bacterium. Its description in RNAcentral is "partial 16S ribosomal RNA". It matches the Rfam family "Bacterial small subunit ribosomal RNA", at positions 524 to 776 of the family's 1533-position model. The record is from RNAcentral.
GACGUAGGGUGCGAGCGUUGUCCGGAAUUAUUGGGCGUAAAGAGCUCGUAGGCGGUCUGUCGCGUCUGCUGUGAAAACCCGAGGCUCAACCUCGGGCCUGCAGUGGGUACGGGCAGACUAGAGUGCGGUAGGGGAGAAUGGAAUUCCUGGUGUAGCGGUGGAAUGCGCAGAUAUCAGGAGGAACACCGAUGGCGAAGGCGGUUCUCUGGGCAUUACCUGACGCUGAGGAGCGAAAGUGUGGGGAGCGAACAGG